RNAcentral lists this ribosomal RNA (279 nucleotides) under uncultured Burkholderiales bacterium. RNAcentral's name for it is "partial 16S ribosomal RNA". It matches the Rfam family "Bacterial small subunit ribosomal RNA", at positions 524 to 802 of the family's 1533-position model. Lineage: Bacteria; Pseudomonadati; Pseudomonadota; Betaproteobacteria; Burkholderiales. The record is from RNAcentral.
UACGUAGGGUGCGAGCGUUAAUCGAAAUUACUGGGCGUAAAGCGUGCGCAGGCGGCUUUGCAAGACAGAGGUGAAAUCCCCGGGCUCAACCUGGGAACUGCCUUUGUGACUGCAAGGCUAGAGUACGGCAGAGGGGGAUGGAAUUCCGCGUGUAGCAGUGAAAUGCGUAGAUAUGCGGAGGAACACCGAUGGCGAAGGCAAUCCCCUGGGCCUGUACUGACGCUCAUGCACGAAAGCGUGGGGAGCAAACAGGAUUAGAUACCCUGGUAGUCAAGGGCG